Molecule: RNA transcript, 1364 nt
Organism: Dreissena polymorpha
Lineage: Eukaryota; Metazoa; Mollusca; Bivalvia; Myida; Dreissenidae
Gene name: N-lysine methyltransferase SMYD2-like
Exons: 3
Source: RefSeq, a predicted model, not a curated record
CAUAAUUGGUCACACAGAUUCAUGUUCAACCGGGAAACCAGUCACCAUUCUUGGCUUCCCGGUUGAGGUGGAAAAAAGCGUGCAUGGAAGACCGCUGGAAAGCUACCUCUUGUUAUUUAGAUACGUAGCGCACCUAUCUACGUUAUCUUACUCCAACGCAUAUUGGUCGAGGGAAAACAAUUGAACGAUGAUAUGAAACAUGAAAGUUGAAAAAAGUCACGUAAGGAUAUUAAAACUUGACAGUAUUGUAUUUUCUGAAAACUGAUAGCGUAUAUCUAGAUAAAUGCGUCAUUAAAUGGGUAAAUAAAUUUAGUGUAUAAUUUGAUGCAUAAACGUAUAUUUCACUAAAACGUGACGACGAUUUUAAACUUUGUAUUACGAUAUUAUAACGGACAAUAGUAUUAUAUAUUUGCUACAAAGCGUUUUAUUGUCAAAUACCAACAUACUCUUCAAAGAAAACAAAAUGGACGCAUGGAAACCACUUCUACGUGACUUACAACGACAAAGAGGGCCUACGCCGCAACAACCAAACGCGUUAGACGUAGUUGGACUUACCAGACCAGACGAGCAUGACGUCACUGAAGCCACAUCCCGGCGACCGCGUGGUCACAGUUGCAAACGUUGCAAUGUACCCGGAUGUACAAAGUCGUGCGCAAGGUGCAUGCAAGUGUUCUUCUGCUCGAAGUCCUGCCAAACGUGCGACUGGCCGACUCACAAGCAUACGUGCAAAGGGUUGGAGGACCCUGGUGCCAGCCAGACUCCUGUGGCCGAUGGAAGAACCGAGUUGGUUUUACUGACAUUACAAGAAAUCUUCCCUACAGAGAACGACCAUGUUGUCUAUGUUGUCGAACAUACGUUUCUGGUCAAGAGGCAGUUGAAUUAGUGGACUUUGAGACAUGAAUAGAUCAGCAUACACAUUUCUCAAAUUAAGGUUGAGAGCGCUAUGUUUCUUGUACAUAUAAUUCAGAUUUAUUCAUAACUGGUUGCCAGAUGCAUCUAAAAAAUGUUGCCCCGGCUAUCAACCAUUUUAUUGAUUGUGGUUCUGCUGAUUUUGUAUUUCAAAAAAUUGUAAUUAUGUUAAAUUAAAGUUUUGUUUACGAAUUUUUAUGAAUAUGUAUACUUUACAUACUAUAUUUUUAAUCGUUCAACUCAUCAUUUAAUAGUUAAUUAACACUAAACUACGUUCAAUCAUAUAAAAUCUGUCGAAGCCUAUAAUAUUAUGCCGUACACUCGUUUUUGUUUCAGUUGAUAUUAUGUUCAUGAAUUGUAUGAUUUAUAUUUUAUUUAUGUUUUCAAAAUUGUUUUGUCCAUUUAUCAAAGUUGUUUAAAUUGUCAAGCCAAAAAUAAUAAAGUUAUACAUGGAU